RNAcentral lists this ribosomal RNA (459 nucleotides) under uncultured Geobacteraceae bacterium. RNAcentral describes it as "partial 16S ribosomal RNA". It matches the Rfam family "Bacterial small subunit ribosomal RNA", at positions 338 to 789 of the family's 1533-position model. The record is from RNAcentral. Lineage: Bacteria; Pseudomonadati; Thermodesulfobacteriota; Desulfuromonadia; Geobacterales; Geobacteraceae.
CCUACGGGAGGCAGCAGUGGGGAAUUUUGCGCAAUGGGGGCAACCCUGACGCAGCAACGCCGCGUGAGUGAUGAAGGCCUUCGGGUCGUAAAGCUCUGUCAGAGGGGAAGAAAUGCAGGUGGUGAACAACCAUUCUGUUUGACGGUACCCUCAAAGGAAGCACCGGCUAACUCCGUGCCAGCAGCCGCGGUAAUACGGAGGGUGCGAGCGUUGUUCGGAAUUAUUGGGCGUAAAGCGCGUGUAGGCGGUUUGUUAAGUCUGAGGUAAAAGCCCCGGGCUCAACCUGGGAAGUGCAUUGGAUACUGGCAGACUAGAGUACGGGAGAGGAGAGUGGAAUUCCCAGUGUAGGAGUGAAAUCCGUAGAUAUUGGGAGGAACACCGGUGGCGAAGGCGGCCCUCGGGCGCUUGACUGACGCUGAGGCGCGAAAGCGUGGGGAGCAAACAGGAUUAGAUCCCCUG